Cornus florida is the source of this 1463-nucleotide long non-coding RNA. RefSeq lists it as uncharacterized. The record is from RefSeq and is a predicted model, not a curated record. NCBI's taxonomy places the organism in Eukaryota, Viridiplantae, Streptophyta, Magnoliopsida, Cornales, Cornaceae. The transcript has 2 exons.
UUUUUUUUUUUUUCUAAUAGCACAAAAGGACUUAUUUUCAUUACACUUGUUUCUCUAUAUUAUAUUUUUUAUUUUUUUACAUAAAAAAGUUUUCCAAAAUUUGAAGUAAAACGGGGUGCAGUAAUAGCAAAGCUAGGGUUAAAAAAUUGGGGUCUGUGUAACGAAUCUGCGGCAGAUUUCACGAAAAAAGAUGGAGAUGUGGCGCGCAAUUCCUAAGCGGGAGAAGCAAGAAUACCCAGAGGGAUUUGCAAUUCCUAAGCAUGAGAAGCAAGAAUACCCGGAGGGAUUUGCAAUUCCUAAGCCUGAGGGAUUUGCAAUUCCUAAGCAUGAGAAGCAAGAAUACCGGGAGGCAAGAGAUAGAGUCCGAGAGAAGCAAGAGAGACUCCGAGAGAGGGAAGAAAGACUCCCGAGUGAGGCGAGAAGGUCUCCAUAGGAGAGUCGAGCGAGUGAAAGAAGCUGGCAAGAUAGCAAGGGCGAGUAUAAAGAAGCUGCUCUUAGAGAGGAGAUAUUCAGUCUUUUUGACUCAACGGCCUCAGAUGCUAAUGAGAGAGCCAGGAGGAUUGGAAUUAAGAAUGAUGGUGAGGUUGGUUAAUUGGGUCAUUCAUUCCCCUUGCAAAAGAUGUUUCUUUCACUAUUAAUUAUAUGACUCUUUUAUCUCUUUUAGUGGAGUGUGUUGUAUUUUAGGUAAACUAUACAAUUUUUGUAAAAUGUCCUGAAAUAUUUUAAAAGCAAGUAAAAUGCUCCUGCCACAAAAUGAUUAUCUUUAUAAAGAUUAUAAAAUUUAUGAAUAUGAAAUACUAAUAAUGUCCUCUUAUUUUUAUUUUACUUUAUUUUUAAAGUCAGUAAGGCUGCCAUCGCCCACCGUGAACAGAGCUCCAGAUGGUUACAUCGACCUGAAAGGCGUUUCUCUCUCUUGGACCCUCCCAUCAUCAUCCAUAACUCUCACACCAAUCACCUCUCUGGCGGAUUCUACAAAACUCUCUCUUUCUCUCUCUCAAGACUCUCUAUUUUUUUUGUCUGAAGCUCAAACACUCACGCGCACACCCAGAAAUUCCACAAACAGAAGCACUUGCCCCUCUCUCUCUAAAAUCUGAGCCAUGGCGAUGUCUCUUGCAACGACAACUUCGGCCUCAGCUGCUUCGGUUGCCAGAACUGCCCCCAAUUCAAGCUCUUAUUUACCUAUUCUGUCUCAUUCUCACUCUAGCGUCUCAUUUCGUCUCUCUCCCAAACCCAAGCUCCAAAUCUUCAUCAAGGUAUGUAUGCAUGUACGCGCAAUUGCAAUCUCUAUCUAAAAAUUCACUUUUCUCUUUCUGUAAAUUCAUUGUAUUUCUUUGAAUUUUGUUUGAAAUUCCUUGUAUUUAUGAGAUCAAUCUCUGUUGCUCUCUCUGUUUUUGUGUGUAUAUAUAUAUAUAUAUAUAUAUAUGUAUAUCGAUUUGUAAUGCAAGAUGGGUUUUUUUUCUCUC